UCGGAAUGUAAUUGUAGGGUAUAUACAUUUCGAUGAAUAUGUAAUAAUUUCAAUUACAUGCACGUAACAAAAGAAUGUCAAGACAUGUAAUGCUUGGAUGACCCCUGGAAUAAGUAUUGGAUUCUUCCAAUACCAUAACAACAACUUUGAGUUUCGUUUAAAUAAUUUAGUGCAGAACUUUAGCUGUAGUGACAAUCAAUUGCCAUUCCAUGUUCCAAGCAUUUUACUUGCAGACUUAACACAUUCUGAUACCUCCAAUGCCCUUGUCUUACCAAGGCAUCUAGUAAACUAGAAAUGAACAAGUCACCGAUAGCGAUAGCGGAACGGUAUCGCGACAGAGCACAUAUGAACAUGGAAACAUUGGAUAGUUGAAAUGUUAAAAACCAAAACUAGAAAAGAAGAAAAAGGCACAGAAAUCGUUAGCCUGAAUCAUGAAUAAUCUAGCUAAACAAGAAAUUACCAAAUGAUGAGAACUGAUUUCCUACACUAGUUAAUUUUUUGUGGAAAUCAGUGCUGAUCACAAAACGUAUAAGAAAAAUAUAUGUACAUAUGGGAUAUAAAAAGGAAAACACAUUUGCUUUACUCAUACCUAAAAGAUACAUAAUAGCAAUUUAAAAUAUCAGACGUGCCAUGGCAUGUUAACAAGGAAAUGCCUCAAAAGCAUGGUACUAACAUUGCAAUACGAGAUAAUAACAUAUCAUGUUUCUAACUGUUAGGAUUAUCGGCCCAAAACUCACAAGCAAUCGUAAAAAUAGUAAAAAUAAAUCAAGAACAGAAAUCGAACACAAGAAUUGUUCACCCAGUUCAACCAAACACGGCCUAAUCUGGGGGGCUCAGAAGUAAGCCCGUCACUAACAAAAAACCAUCAAGAGAGUGUAUAACCAUUUGAGAAAACCAAAGCAAACCCACUAUAUGGUCAUCAAUCCACAAGGAUCUCUCAAUAACUUGAACCCUAGCCCACAAGACUAGACAGAACCUUGUCAAGAACAAAAUACAGGUUUACCAACCACAAAUAAGGCCUAAAACACUGUACCAACGUUCUACCAUCAUUAGAUAACUACAAGAUUAUUAUAAAGAUCACCAAAGUUCUUCAGAUCUAAAAAGAAAAGAAGAAGCAGAUGAGAGAGAGAGCUAGAGAGAGAGAUAACCAAAAAGACAAUUUCUUUAAAAGAGAAAGUGACUGACUGCUCCUUUUCCCAACCCUCAAAAGGCAUUACUUAUUGAAGACUAAAUCUCAGUCAUAGGAUUAAAUCAACGGUCCACAAUAGCCAAGAGAAAGCACAACUCGUGUGACCAUUUGUAAGCCAAUGCCAAACUGCCAAC
This 1323-nucleotide long non-coding RNA is filed under the name Olea europaea subsp. europaea. Lineage: Eukaryota; Viridiplantae; Streptophyta; Magnoliopsida; Lamiales; Oleaceae. The record is from RNAcentral.